CAGUCGCCACGGUAAUACGUAGGUGGCAAGCGUUGUCCGGAAUCAUUGGGCGUAAAGUGCGCGCAGGCGGAUAGGUCAGUCUGUCUUAAAAGUUCGGGGCUUAACCCUGUGAUGAGAUGGAAACUGCUGAUCUAGAGUAUCGGAGAGGAAAGUGGAAUUCCUAGUGUAGCGGUGAAAUGCGUAGAUAUUAGGAAGAGCACCAGUGGCGAAGGCGACUUUCUGGACGAAAACUGACGCUGAGGCGCGAAAGCCAGGGGAGUGAACGGGAUUAGAUACCCGUGUAGUCCCUGUCUCUUAUACA
This 301-nucleotide ribosomal RNA is filed under the name uncultured bacterium. Its description in RNAcentral is "partial 16S ribosomal RNA". It matches the Rfam family "Bacterial small subunit ribosomal RNA", at positions 509 to 809 of the family's 1533-position model. The record is from RNAcentral.